This is an RNA transcript of Contarinia nasturtii (swede midge), 1927 nucleotides long. RefSeq lists it as uncharacterized. NCBI's taxonomy places the organism in Eukaryota, Metazoa, Arthropoda, Insecta, Diptera, Cecidomyiidae. The transcript is spliced from 4 exons. The record is from RefSeq and is a predicted model, not a curated record.
AUGGAAUUCACAUUUGAAUACUCAAUACAAUUGUGCUAUGUAAACAAAAUUAGUCUAAAUAAAUUCAUAAUAGUAAUGGGAGAUCGACACAUAUUGCGUCGUCAAUUGUCGUCGUGUAGGCUCUACCACCGAUUGAUUGUAGAUAAGCGUAUACGUCAAUAUUUUAGUAGGAUUUAAGUUACAAUUGGGCAGGAAUUAUUUAACCAGGUGUAACGACGCAGCGCCAUGACAGAGACACCAAGCUAGCCCCCUAACUCAAAAUCAAUCGUGAGUUGUCACAGAGCUAAGGUAUCCAAUGAAAGCGGAAUGAACGGAAUGUCAAUUUAAAUGUUGAUAAUUACCACCCUUCAAACCGCGGUAAAGUUCCAAGUUACAUCCUUCGGAUCUGAAGCUCACGUUUUCAUUCGGGUGUUGACAAGAAAAGGGAUUCUAUUUGGUAGGGUUUUCUGAUAGGCGGAAGGACGCCCUUAACUUACGAAUUCAUUGAAUUGAUCAAAGUCACUCCAGAUACUUAUGGAGUCAUUCGAUCGAAAUGUGUUCAACAAUACGUGUUGUUGUCACCCAGCGCACAUUUUCAUUGGAAUUACAUAAAAGUUAUAUUUAGUAUAUUUAUUCCGUGCAUUUAGCUUUGGAUGAAAAAAAAUUCGAAUUGUCAAUUCCAAACCGAACUAACUAUGAAUUUAAGCAUUUAUCACAUUUUCGGACGAUUUCAACGAAAACUUUUUUUAGUGUUAUUUAUCAUAGUUAUAUGUUUUAUAUAUUUACGUGCAUUGAUAUCUUCUAGAUUAAGUGAACAAGUACAAAUUCCGUGUUAUAAGCAUCCGAACGAUUCGCCGCAAUCACUAUUCAAUUUCCCUGAUAUUCUUGAUGCAGAAAAACAACCAUUGCCCGGCAAAUCAAUCUUUUUCCACGUCGAAACAUCGUGCAAUGCGGAUGGUAUUGCCGAAUUGAAUGCAAAACAAGCCUGUGUCAUUGAGUCGGCAGCACGUUGGAAUCCAAACCGUGAUGUAUUCGUUAUAUUUGCGUCACCAGUUGGCAUAAGAGACUAUCCACAUUGGCCUCCGUUCAUUGAACAACUCAAGGAAUAUGACAAUAUUUACUUUCGAAAUAUGAACUUGUGGCUCCGAUUGAAGAAUGGGCCAAAACCACUCAACCCUUUCGCACUUACUAUUCGAAUGAGUACCUGUCCGAUCAUUUUAGAGCGUUGACUUUGUAUAAAUUCGGCGGUUUUUAUAUAGAUUCGGAUGUGAUCGUACAGAAAAGUCUCUAUGAUUUGGGCGAUGAAGAUUUUGUCGGCGAUGAUUGGGACGAUGUAGUUAAUGACGGUGUUAUGCACUUGAAUAAUUACGGUGUUGGACGUCAAGUGUCUGGUCGAUACUUGGAGAAAUUGAUGGAACAUUUCGAAGGACAGAUUUUGAUAACAAAUGGACCACGAUUAUUGACAAACAUUUUCACCGAUAUUUGCAAAAUGGAAGAUCACACCUUAUGGAAUCACAUUGUUAUCAAAUGGAAAAAUCAAAAGACAUACGUCAACAAGAAAAAGAAAACAACAAAGAAUAUUAUCACUUGCAGUCAGAUUGAAAUAGCCGAAAAAAGACGAAUUGCAAUUGAAAGAUUGCAUCAAACACGAAUGAAAAAUACAACAAAAAAAUGCACGGCCGAAGAAAUUGAAUGCAAACGGCGUAUAGCACAAGAACGAUUGAAAAAACAUAAACAAAGUCUUAGUUUCCAUGAAAAAAAGCUACAAAUAGGUUUAAGUUCGAAUUUCAUUUCAUUUAUUAUAUAAAUUUAAAUUUUUUUUUUUACUUUUAAAAUAUACGUCUUAAUUAUACUUAAUUAAUAGAUUAUAAAGAGGAAGAGAAAAAAGCAGUCUAUGUAUUUCGGAUGGAUAUCCAUCCGAGAUAUUUUAGAAUAUCUGGAUAUUCAA